CGGAAAUUCAUGGUUCGGUUUCGGUUCGAUUUAUCUCUUAUUCGGAAUGAUUUUUGAUUUUUAUUUUCUGCUAUUCAAUUUUUGGAUUGGAUCGAUUCGGAUCGGGUCAGUUACAACCGAACGAAUAGCCCUACUCUUUGGGAUCACUCUGGUUUUAACCAAAUCUAAUGAUAACCAGCAAUUUCGUGCAGAAGCUUGCAUUACAUCAAGACCAAGGAUUUAAGUUCCAGCGAGACGGAGACUAUCCCUACCAUUCCAUCCCAUUUCAUUUCUUUAAGAUUUCGGCAUCAGGGAUGGAUACGGGACUCCAAAAUAUUUUUUUGACCUUCGUCCUGUCCAUCCCAUCUUCAUCCCGAUUGGACCAGGCAUCGGUACGACCAUCUCGAUCAUGCCCUAAUUAUUUUUUUCAUUGCCAAAUAUCAAUGAGUCAUUUGUUGCUGGGAGAGGAGAAGAACGAAAAAAAAAGAAACACUAACCUCUUUUUCCAUUGGUGUGUCAGUGUCGGUGUUGGCAUCGGCAUCGUCAUCGGAGGGAGCAUGGCCUUUUCCAUUUGAUUUCGAUUUUUCAAGAGCCAGGUACAUCAGAAGGCAUAACAACUGGAGAAGAGGAAUGGAGGAUAGAGGAGAGAGGAAGCAAGCUUUGGAUUUUUCGACGAGGAAGGAGAGACAACCGAAGGGGGGAGGAAAAAGGGCUUGGGGCCUUCAAGCUCUAAUACAGAAGGUUCUCCUCGAUGCCUUCCUUUCGAUCAUGCCCAGUGUCAAACCCAAAUCCACAUAAACUAGGGCAAAUCUCAGAGCAUAUGCAUGGUGGAUAAC
This 815-nucleotide long non-coding RNA is filed under the name Elaeis guineensis (African oil palm). RNAcentral describes it as "long non-coding RNA (EGUI_LNC016014)". Lineage: Eukaryota; Viridiplantae; Streptophyta; Magnoliopsida; Arecales; Arecaceae. The record is from RNAcentral.